Molecule: ribosomal RNA, 253 nt
Filed under: uncultured bacterium
Lineage: Bacteria
Description: partial 16S ribosomal RNA
Rfam family: Bacterial small subunit ribosomal RNA
Source: RNAcentral
UACGUAGGGGGCGAGCGUUGUCCGGAUUUAUUGGGCGUAAAGGGCGCGUAGGCGGUGCUCUGAGUCGUGCGUGAAAGGCCCUGGCUCAACUGGGGAGGGUCGUGCGAUACUGGGGCGCUGGAGGGCGGGAGAGGGAAGCGGAAUUCCCGGUGUAGUGGUGGAAUGCGUAGAUAUCGGGAGGAACACCAGUGGCGAAGGCGGCUUCCUGGUCCGUACCUGACGCUGAGGCGCGAAAGCGUGGGGAGCGAACUGG